CGCAGGACAAUGCGACUCAUUUCUGUUGGCCACUCUGAUACCCUCAGCUCUGGUGUCAGUUAAGUUCUGCAAGAGCUACAUGCCGGUUGUGGGAAUGCACACAGCUAAAGCAGAAACUACUGGUGUUAUUACGUCUUAAAACUGGCUGACAACACUGUCAGCUGCCCAGCAGGAGAGAUACUCCGCAGUGUGGCAGGAUUUCAUAACUGAGCCAUGAUCAAGACGCCAGCUGUAUGUCUGUAUGGAAAAACAAGAACAAAUGGUUAAAAUCUUUGUAUUGAACAGCCAAAUCCAAUUUGACUGACAAAAUUCAACCAGGUCCAGCCCUAUUUCCUCUGACUCACUGGAUAGUUUCACCUAUUUUUGCCUCUCUAGCUAAAAAAAACAACUCACUUUUUGGAUGGAAUUGGUCACAACCAGCACACAGACAUUCAACUGGUGAUGAGGGGUUGCCAACAGACAUUGGUUUGGGGUCACAAGCCAAAAAAAAAAAGGUUGGGAAACACUGUAGUCACACACUGUUAAUAUUAGAGUCUAUGCAUUGCUGCUUGUUCCAUUCAUCCCUCAGUUCAAAUGAAGAUUAAAGUUUAUACCUCAGUGGGACUAGUUUGCAUUUUAAAAUGAAGCAUCUUUUUACUAAUUUUCAUCUGAUGGUGUUACAAAUGUGACUAAGAACAGUGACUUUUAAAGUACAGCCUUAAGUGGAGCUUUUCAUUUACACAGCCAACAGAUAAAAGUCAUUUGCAGCCCACACAGCGCCUUCAGCAGCUAAAAGACCUUUCAUUUAAGGACCAGUCAGCGUGCAACAUUAACAAAAGCCGCCAGUCAAAUGUUGGUAAAUUCUGACUGCUGCCACUAAUUCUGCUGCUUCUACCAGCUGCUUACAGACAGAUUUAUUUUAAAGUAAAAAAAAAAAAGAAAAAAACACUGAUAGAUGCUGAAGAUAAUCCUAAUUUCCUUCUUGCUUAGGAUGCAUUUCUCAAAUCUUCAAUUUAUGUAUUUGGUGAUAAAUCAUUGUAUGAAAUUCAUCAUUAAAUAUCUCUACAAUGUAGAUAAUCGUCAGAAAAGGGUUAUCACUUUGUCCCCCAGGGACUAAUAUCACAUUAUAUGUCAUUUAAAAUAUAACAAGUGUGACUUUGUUAGAGAAAUUGUAUUUAAUUUUUCAUUACUUUUACUUUUCUGGAGAAUGUUUGCACUGAUGGACCGUAUUGUCUUAAAUACGUCAGGUCACGUUUUUCUCAUUCAACUCUAAAGUAAUGUUCUAAUGUUUACAUCUUAGAAAAAUAGAAGCAAUAUUUCCACAACGAAAUGCCUUUUCUGCAUGUGUGUUUUACAUUUUGUUGAUUGACCUUGUGAAGUUUAUUGCAAUGAUUUAAACUUUUCUUUUAUCGCAAUGAGAAAAAAAAUCUACAAAAACAAUAUAUAACAGACCAGUUACAUAUCAUCAAAUGUUUACUUGUGACCCAUGUUUGUAAUUGAGUGUAAACAAAAUAUAUUAUUCCUAAUAUUAUAUCGAGUGCUUUAAUCAGAGUCAGGCUAUAACAUUACUGCAGCCAUGCCAAAUAUUUCAGUUGUGUCAGAGAAUCUCAUUUAAACUUGUAAAAGUACUUUAAUAAUGGUAGAUUAUGUAGCACUUCAUGGUUCCUGCCAGGUCAUACUUUGCAUUUCACUGGAGGUUUUCCAUAGUUUUGUCCAUCAAGCUGAGUAUUUUUCACAGAAUUAUUAAGACAACUCAUAUACUCAACUGGCACAAGAUAAAAUGAUUUGUCUCAAACUAAAUGCUGGUAAACUAUCCAGAAAUCAAUUCUCUUUGAGCUCAAUUUCCUAUUUCUGGUGCACUAUUCCUAUCACUCUCAAUUUAUUUGGGAAUUUAAAAGGUACUUUUCUGCCCUCUUGAUAAGUCAAACAUAUGUAAUAUGUAAUAUAUUUGAAGUUGUCACAAUGUAAAAUGGAGUCUCAUAUAGACUUCAAGCAGAAGGAAGUUGUAUAUAGUCUUUACACAUAUCAGCAAUGGAGAAAAAAAAGCUCUUUAUAAUAUUCAUUACCAUUGUAAUAAGGAAGAUAGUUCUAUUUUUGGAGCUACCAGUUGUGGUAUGAUAUUUUUGUGCAUGAAUCUGACUCUCAGUCCUCAGUCCUUCAUGUGGUUUUGUCAAAUGUCUCGUCUCCACUGGCCUGAGCUCAGCCUUGUUGUGGUCGGUCAGGUUCACAGUCUCAUACUGGUCCCAGUCUGGACCUGACUGAACCACAACUGGACCCAGCUGAACUCAACUGAGCUAAUGGAGAUGAGGCAGAAGUGUUCUGAUGCAAGCUGCCAUGGUCCAAUACACUGCCUGCUUUGUUUCAUCAGUUUGGUUCCUUAUUUAAUUCCAACUUUGAUAAUGUAUGAAAAUGCUCCCUUUUGGAUUAAUAAAAAGUUGGUUUCUUAAGUCUGUUGUUUUAAUCUAACAAUAUUGAGUAGGAUAAUAAUGCAGAACUAAAUUUCUUUGUUGUCUAUUUGAGGAUAUCUCACAUAUCACUCUUCUUUUUGUAGAAGCUGAAUUAUUUGGAAACUCUGGAAAUGUUGAGCCUCAGAUGUCGCGCUGCAGUCAGUCCAGAUUUGGAGUCACGAUGAGACAAACUUCCCCAUAGAUGUGAUGCUCGACUUAAGUUUCACUCAGCCACAGUGUCAGCAAGUUUAAUUGACUUCCCCUAACACGAUUUCAGGGAUCAGUCAGAGAUUACAGCUCUUUUCAGUGAUAUCAGGAAAGCAGUGAAGGUCUGGUCACUGCCAGUAAGCCGAGGUUUACACCACAGAUGACCUCACCUGUCCUGAGGCAGACCUGCAUGGUAUCUGUUGAGGAGGUGAAGUUACGUAAAGUAAAUCUGCAGCAGACAUUCUUAGAGGGCUAAUCUUCUUAGACUGCUGAGGGCUGAGACAAGCCUCAGCGGUGUCAAAGCUACCAGGAAGUCAUCUCAAGACAGGACGACAGUAGUAGUACUUGGAUAGAGUCCAGUAUGUCAGACUUUUAAAAUGGUUUGAUGGUACUUCUUAUGUGAGCGUAAUUUUUUUUUAAAAAAAAGAUUACAUAAAUUACAAGGAAGAGAGUGAAAAAGUGCUGAUACAGAGAAGUUUCUAAAGUCAUUUAAAGUAAAGUAACUGCACUCAUGGUGGAAACAAAAUCCUUUUCUUCUUCAAUUCUCAGGAUGAUUUCAGACCAUCCACUAACAGGAAUUCACCCUCUGUGUGAUUUUCCACCAUUUUGAAUUAUGUCCAAAAGUUUUCACAGCUUUCAAAUUGGCCAAAUUUCACACAUGAAAAGUCUGACUCACACAGAAGUUAUUACUUUUUUUUCAAGCUAUUAUAAUCAAUAAUUUAUGUACUUGUUCAGAACCUAGCUCAGAGCUUCACUAUGCACUUUUUGGACAUUCAGCCUCUGGGGGGACGACAAAACUUUAAAAAGUUUGUAUCUCAAAUUACUGUGCAUUUCUUUCUACACUUAAUAGGACAUGAUCUAAUGUUCAAGCCUCAGACAACAGCUUGGUUUUGAUUAAUCUAAGUCUGUGGCUUUUAUAAGCAAGUUUUUAAAACUGCAACCGAUGGUCAAUUAUGAGGUCCAUCACUACUUUCUUCAAAAUUCACAUAAUCAGUUAGCCCUCAUAACUCUUAAUGUAUUUGUUCAAACACUACCAGAACUGAGUCACAGAUUGUUUCGAGUCUGAAGGUAAAAAGUUUUGAAAUCUGUUUAAAAUUCUUUUUAGCUCAACUUAUCCUUUGAAUUUUUUUUUCUUUUGGCUCAACCAACAAAAUAAGUCCUUAACCUGUCAUAGUAUUUCUUCCCUCAGUGUCUGUAUGGCUAAAAGUCCCAUCUGUCCCUCUGCAGGUCUAAUGAGUGUGUGAUCAGUGAAGAUAGGUGCCCUGAAUUGGUGAUCAAAGGUUUCCAAACAGGAGUCCCCCUUGUCUCACAAGAGCCUGGGGCCCCAUGUGCUCCAGGGAGAGGACAAGGAUGUUAUUAUGCAGAAAGGACAGAGGCAGAGCCCACCUCACUGCUGCUCCACCAAUCGCGAUGUACCUCUGGGCUGCAUCUCAGGUAUCUUCUGUCUACCCUCUGGGUGGAGAGGAGGUCAAAGGUCGGGGAGACAGAGAGCACCUGAGAGACUCAAAGAAACACAAGGGAUAUUCAUUGAUGAGGAGAGCCCAGAAGAAGAUCCAUCCUCCAUUGUGUGGAGCUCUGGUCAAAGAAGUAAAAAAAAAAACAAAUUGUUUAUGGAGCACCCUCUGCUUGUAAACAGCCCUAAAAUUACAACAGUUUGUUUCUGGAUUCCAUCAAUAUACAGUUGCAUGCAAUGUUUGGGUUUGUGUUGCAGCCAGUGGCACUGAGAACAUUUUGCUGGUAGAAGAAAGAAUAGAUUCAGUUAAAUAUCAGUAAACCUUGGGAGCAAAUAUCACACCAACUGUGGGAAAGGUGAAGAUGAAAAGAGGAUGGCUUAUAAACACACCUCAAAAUCCACAAUGGACUUACUCAAGUUGUGCAAGCUGCAGGUUGUUCCAUGGUUCUCUCAGUCCCCUGACCUAAACAUCAUUAAAAAUAUGUGGAUAGACCUCAACAGAGUAGUGCAUGCAAGACAGCCCCAAGAGUCUCACAGAACUAGAAACCUUUUGCGAGGAAGAAGGGUGAAAAUUCCCCAAACAAGAACUGAAAGACUCUUAGAUGGCUACAAACAGCAUUUACAAACUGUUAUAGCUGCCAGAAGGGGUGUUACUAAGUACUAACCAUGCAGGGUGGCCAAACAUUUGCUUUCAGCUGUUUUCCUUCUUUGUUAUUUUGAAACUGUAAAAAAUAGAAAUAAAGUUAUCUUGCUUAAGGAAAUGUGUCGUCUUUAACUAGUAUGCUUUUACUCACUCAGCUAUUCACACUAAGAAAUUUUGACCAGGGGUGCCCAAACAUUUGCAUGCCACUGUAUAACACAUAGGAAUGUCAAGAGACAGAACAGGGCUAGUUACUUUAAUAUGAUCAGUAUUAUACCGUUUCAUCACACUGACCAGCAGAUUCAUGCAGAACCUGAUAUCUAACCUUCCACAUAUAUCCAUACACUGACUGUAAGAGCUAAAAAACUAAUUUACAAAACAUCAUAACAGUCUUUAAUUAUCAGCUCUAUUGACCACAUGUUGAUCAAAACUAACUGGAUGGCUAGGUCUGUACCAGACUGCACAGAACAACCCUUCACUGUGAGUUUCAAACUCACAACAACCUCAGGCUGUUGAGGUUUUUUGUACAAUAAACUUGCUAUAUUCACACAUGUAAUUUAAAUUUUUAUGAGAUUGUUUUGUUGUAUUGCAUUUUGUACAUAAAGACAUUUCAGGAAACAUUUA
Lates calcarifer (barramundi perch) is the source of this 5350-nucleotide long non-coding RNA. RefSeq lists it as uncharacterized. The record is from RefSeq and is a predicted model, not a curated record. The transcript is spliced from 3 exons. Lineage: Eukaryota; Metazoa; Chordata; Actinopteri; Centropomidae.